UGAAUUACCGGUUUAGCCGAUCUCGUAUUAUUUCUCUCUUCAUCUCUGAAAAGACAUUGUGCGAGCUCUCGACUUCUAUAGUUACUGUCUUGCCUCCGAGGCUGUUCACGAAGAUCUGCAUCUAGAAACAAAAAGAUGAUGCAAAUCUUCGUCAAGAGCAUUGGUGGCAAGACACUAACUUUCGACACGUGGGCAGUUGAAGGAAAAGAUGGAAGAAGGAAUAACGAAUCGAAGAGAAAGAAGGUCAGACUCUGUUCUUCAGUUCCUAUUCCAGUUAUUGGUAUUUGCUUAGCUGGAUCUUUGAUUUAUUUUUGCGCAUGUCUAUUGUGGAUAUCGGAAUUACAAGUUUGUGGCGACACUAAACAAAAUCAGUGGAUGAUUUGAGCUUUGAUUGAUUGAGACUAUUGCAUUUUGUUAUGUCUAAUUGUUUCUGAGGAGCUUUUGAUUUCGAUUUAGGUUGCUUUUUCUUCUGCGAGUUUCUUUAGAUAGUUAAAAGUUUUGAUUUUUGUAAUAAAAAUUUAAAUUUUACUUAUUGAUGUUUACUAUCAAACCAAAACCUCAAUAUGUAGAUUCUUGACCUUUUCUAGUUAGAGACUGUUCAUCUUCUUUGUGCAUGUAUUAGAUGAAUGAUCUAAGUCCAUUUCUUAAUUGUUCUGUCUAUAGAUUCAGGUAACCAUCAGCUCAAUUUUCUUUCCCUUUUUCAUCUUUUGUUUUGUAUACACACAUAAUAGAAAUACAAUGUAACAUAUAUAAGUAGGGUUUACUUAUUUGAUAUUUCACAUCCAUUUCAGUGAUAAUGCUAUUCAGAAAAUUGCUAUAACCGUGAACUUUAGUUUCUUACACAUCCAAGUGAGAUACAAGAUGAAGAAGAAGAAGAGCAACUUAGUAUCGGUGUUCCAUGGAACAGAUCUGAGAGGUAGUUCUCCAAGUUAUCAGGCUU
RNAcentral lists this long non-coding RNA (940 nucleotides) under Eutrema salsugineum. RNAcentral's name for it is "long non-coding RNA (ESAL_LNC001979)". Lineage: Eukaryota; Viridiplantae; Streptophyta; Magnoliopsida; Brassicales; Brassicaceae. The record is from RNAcentral.